This 200-nucleotide ribosomal RNA is filed under the name uncultured bacterium. Its description in RNAcentral is "partial 16S ribosomal RNA". It matches the Rfam family "Bacterial small subunit ribosomal RNA", at positions 30 to 232 of the family's 1533-position model. The record is from RNAcentral.
ACUGAACGCUGGCGGCAGGCCUAACACAUGCAAGUCGAGCGCGAAAGUUCUUCGGAAUGAGUAAAGCGGCGGACGGGUGAGGUAAUACAUGGGAAUCUGCCUGGUAGUGGGGGACAACGUUUCGAAAGGAACGCUAAUACCGCAUACGCCCUAUGGGGGAAAGGGGGGGAUCUUCGGACCUCUCGCUAUCAGAUGAGCCC